RNAcentral lists this ribosomal RNA (1383 nucleotides) under uncultured bacterium. Its description in RNAcentral is "bacterial SSU rRNA". It matches the Rfam family "Bacterial small subunit ribosomal RNA", at positions 18 to 1394 of the family's 1533-position model. The record is from RNAcentral.
CCUGGCUCAGGAUGAACGCUAGCUACAGGCUUAACACAUGCAAGUCGAGGGGCAGCAUGGUCUUAGCUUGCUAAGACCGAUGGCGACCGGCGCACGGGUGAGUAACGCGUAUCCAACCUGCCUUACACUCUUGGACAGCCUUCUGAAAGGGAGAUUAAUACAAGAUGUUAUCAUGAGUAAGCAUUUUCGCAUGAUUAAAGGUUUACCGGUGUAAGAUGGGGAUGCGUUCCAUUAGAUAGUAGGCGGGGUAACGGCCCACCUAGUCUUCGAUGGAUAGGGGUUCUGAGAGGAAGGUCCCCCACAUUGGAACUGAGACACGGUCCAAACUCCUACGGGAGGCAGCAGUGAGGAAUAUUGGUCAAUGGACGAGAGUCUGAACCAGCCAAGUAGCGUGAAGGAUGAAGGUUCUAUGGAUUGUAAACUUCUUUUAUACGGGAAUAAACGGAUCCACGUGUGGAUUUUUGCAUGUACCGUAUGAAUAAGGAUCGGCUAACUCCGUGCCAGCAGCCGCGGUAAUACGGAGGAUCCGAGCGUUAUCCGGAUUUGUUGGGUUUAAAGGGAGCGUAGAUGGGUUGUUAAGUCAGUUGUGAAAGUUUGCGGCUCAACCGUAAAAUUGCAAUUGAUACUGGCAGUCUUGAGUACAGUUGAGGUAGGCGGAAUUCGUGGUGUAGCGGUGAAAUGCUUAGAUAUCACGAAGAACUCCGAUUGCGAAGGCAGCUUACUAACCUGUAACUGACAUUGAUGCUCGAAAGUGUGGGUAUCANACAGGAUUAGAUACCCUGGUAGUCCACACGGUAAACGAUGAAUACUCGCUGUAGGCGAUAUACAGUCUGCGGCCAAGCGAAAGCAUUAAGUAUUCCACCUGGGGAGUACGCCGGCAACGGUGAAACUCAAAGGAAUUGACGGGGGCCCGCACAAGCGAGAAAACAUGUGGUUUAAUUCGAUGAUACGCGAGGAACCUUACCCGGGCUUAAAUUGCAACCGAAUAUGGCGGAAACGCUAUAGCUAGCAAUAGCGGUUGUGAAGGUGCUGCAUGGUUGUCGUCAGCUCGUGCCGUGAGGUGUCGGCUUAAGUGCCAUAACGAGCGCAACCCUUGCCGAUAGUUACUAACAGGUCAUGCUGAGGACUCUGUCGGGACUGCCAUCGUAAGAUGUGAGGAAGGUGGGGAUGACGUCAAAUCAGCACGGCCCUUACGUCCGGGGCUACACACGUGUUACAAUGGGGGGUACAGAGGGCUGCUACCACGCAAGUGGAUGCCAAUCCCAAAAACCUCUCUCAGUUCGGAUUGAAGUCUGCAACCCGACUUCAUGAAGCUGGAUUCGCUAGUAAUCGCGCAUCAGCCACGGCGCGGUGAAUACGUUCCCGGGCCUUGUACACACCGCC